ACUGUUAAUGAAAUAUGUUUAUUACACAUCUUCUCUGUUAAAAAGUUUGUUUCCGGUUAAGUGGGAAUCUGGAUUCAAAAUUUCCUGAUGAAAUCUGAAGAGCACAAACGAUUCCACAUCAAGUCAGCUCUUAAGAGAAGACCGAUUCGUCAUCAAGUCUGACAUGGCAAGACAAAUGAUACGAAUGAUUAACAAUGAAUGUGGAAACCGGGACUGUGUGGUGCAUUCGUUGAUGUGAA
Molecule: long non-coding RNA, 239 nt
Organism: Ylistrum balloti
Lineage: Eukaryota; Metazoa; Mollusca; Bivalvia; Pectinida; Pectinidae
Exons: 3
Source: RefSeq, a predicted model, not a curated record